Molecule: ribosomal RNA, 377 nt
Filed under: uncultured bacterium
Lineage: Bacteria
Description: partial 16S ribosomal RNA
Rfam family: Bacterial small subunit ribosomal RNA
Source: RNAcentral
UACGGGGGGGGCGAGCGUUGUUCGGAAUCACUGGGCGUAAAGGGCGCGUAGGCGGCCCGCACAAGUCUGCGGUGAAAACCUCCGGCUUAACCGGGGGCCGGCCGUGGAAACUGUCGGGCUGGAGGCUGGGAGAGGGCAGCGGAAUUCCCGGUGUAGCGGUGAAAUGCGUAGAGAUCGGGAGGAACACCGGCGGCGAAGGCGGCUGCCUGGACCAGUCCUGACGCUGAGGCGCGAAAGCUAGGGGAGCAAACAGGAUUAGAUACCCUGGUAGUCCUAGCCCUAAACGAUGGAUACUGGCUGUGGGGGGUAGCCAACCCCCCCGUGGCGAAGCUAACGCAUUAAGUAUCCCGCCUGGGGAGUACGGUCGCAAGUCUGAA